This 506-nucleotide ribosomal RNA is filed under the name uncultured bacterium. RNAcentral describes it as "partial 16S ribosomal RNA". It matches the Rfam family "Bacterial small subunit ribosomal RNA", at positions 28 to 523 of the family's 1533-position model. The record is from RNAcentral.
GAUGAACGCUAGCUACAGGCUUAACACAUGCAAGUCGAGGGGUAACGAGAGGAAAGCUUGCUUUCCUUGUCGACGACCGGCGCACGGGUGAGUAACGCGGAUCCAACCUGCCCCCAACUAGGGAAUAACCUUGCGAAAGUAAGACUAAUACCCUAUACUUUCCUCAGAUGACAUCUGACGAGUAAUAAAGAUUUAUCGGUUGUGGAUGGGGAUGCGUCUGAUUAGCUUGUUGGCGGGGUAACGGCCCACCAAGGCAACGAUCAGUAGGGGUUCUGCGAGGAAGGUCCCCCACAUUGGAACUGAGACACGGUCCAAACUCCUACGGGAGGCAGCAGUGAGGAAUAUUGGUCAAUGGGCGGAAGCCUGAACCAGCCAAGUAGCGUGCAGGAUGACGGCCCUAUGGGUUGUAAACUGCUUUUAUACAGGAAUAAAGUUAGCCACGUGUGGUUAUUUGUAGGUACUGUAUGAAUAAGGACCGGCUAAUUCCGUGCCAGCCGCCGCCGUAA